RNAcentral lists this ribosomal RNA (276 nucleotides) under uncultured prokaryote. Its description in RNAcentral is "partial 16S ribosomal RNA". It matches the Rfam family "Bacterial small subunit ribosomal RNA", at positions 524 to 799 of the family's 1533-position model. The record is from RNAcentral.
UACGUAGGGGGCGAGCGUUAUCCGGAAUUAUUGGGCGUAAAGAGUGCGUAGGUGGUUGUUUAAGCGUGGGGUGAAAGGCAAUGGCUUAACCAUUGUGAGCCUCGCGAACUGGGCGACUUGAGUGCAGGAGAGGAAAGCGGAAUUCCUAGUGUAGCGGUGAAAUGCGUAGAUAUUGGGAGGAACACCGGUGGCGUAGGCGGCUUGCUGGACAGUAACUGACGCUGAGGCGCGAAAGCCAGGGGAGCAAACGGGAUUAGAUACCCCUGUAGUCCCUGA